Perca fluviatilis (European perch) is the source of this 751-nucleotide long non-coding RNA. RefSeq lists it as uncharacterized. The transcript has 3 exons. Lineage: Eukaryota; Metazoa; Chordata; Actinopteri; Perciformes; Percidae. The record is from RefSeq and is a predicted model, not a curated record.
GGGCAGUCGUAAUUCAGAGGGCAGAGAGAGCUGGGAGCAGCAGAAGUCCGAGGCAGAUUUUGCGAGAGCGAGUUAUUACAAGAGGAUGGGGCGUCAACACACAAGCCCAAAGCGGCCAAGCAAGGGCACAAAUGUCCAAUAUGUGGGCUGGACUAUGCCGACUUAACGCAGCACAUUAAACUAGGUGAACGCGUGGUCAACAGAACUGAACUGGAACUGCUGUCUAAGUUGGCACACAGACGGUGCAGGAGGCCUUUAUCUCUCACACCCAGGUUUGUUCAAGGUUGUCACACCGGCGGAAGGAGUAUCAGACUGCUCAGCGGCAGAUAGGUUGAAGCUCGGAGCCUUUCCCUGUUCCGACUCCAACCCCUCUUUGAAGUAUUCGGGGAGCUCGAGGCACUCGGAGCCACUGGAAGUGUGAAAGAAGGUUUCUGCCUCUAGUCCUCCCUCAAUGCAAGACCGGAGACUGUUGUAUCUGAGGAACCGGGCGUACUCCUUUCGUGGCAGCAGUUUUUGCUUCGACCUCUUUCCGCGUCAUGUUGAGCACCCCGUCACCGCCACGAUGUAACCACUCAGGAGCCCGAAAAACAUCCUCUGCCUUUUUUAUCUGCAGGGGUUUUCUAAAGAGAAUCUGUAAGAGCACAGUCCCACCUGCCAGUGAGGUUGCGGCCCCAUCCGCCGCUGACAGACCCUUUACGUCCUCCGACAGAGCCUUCACCGACAGACCCUCCGACGGACCCUUCGCCUCCAC